Molecule: ribosomal RNA, 2913 nt
Filed under: Enterococcus faecium
Lineage: Bacteria; Bacillati; Bacillota; Bacilli; Lactobacillales; Enterococcaceae
Description: bacterial LSU rRNA
Rfam family: Bacterial large subunit ribosomal RNA
Source: RNAcentral
UUAAGUGAAUAAGGGCGCACGGUGGAUGCCUUGGCACUAGGAGCCGAUGAAGGACGGGACUAACACCGAUAUGCUUUGGGGAGCUGUACGUAAGCUAUGAUCCAGAGAUUUCCGAAUGGGGGAACCCAACAUCUUUAAUAGGAUGUUACGAUUGUGUGAAUACAUAGCACAUUCGAGGUAGACGCAGAGAACUGAAACAUCUAAGUACCUGCAGGAAGAGAAAGAAAAUUCGAUUCCCUGAGUAGCGGCGAGCGAAACGGGAAAAGCCCAAACCAGCAAGCUUGCUUGUUGGGGUUGUAGGACUCCAAUAUGGUAGUUCUUUCAGAUAGUCGAAUGACUUGGAAAAGUCAGUCAAAGAGGGUAAAAACCCCGUAGACGAAAUGUGGAAGACACCUAGGAGGAUCCUGAGUACGGCGGAACACGAGAAAUUCCGUCGGAAUCCGGGAGGACCAUCUCCCAAGGCUAAAUACUCCCUAGUGACCGAUAGUGAACCAGUACCGUGAGGGAAAGGUGAAAAGCACCCCGGAAGGGGAGUGAAAUAGAACCUGAAACCGUGUGUCUACAACAAGUCAAAGCCCGUUAAUGGGUGAUGGCGUGCCUUUUGUAGAAUGAACCGGCGAGUUACGAUUGCAUGCGAGGUUAAGUUGAAGAGACGGAGCCGCAGCGAAAGCGAGUCUGAAUAGGGCGUUUGAGUAUGUAGUCGUAGACCCGAAACCAUGUGAUCUACCCAUGUCCAGGUUGAAGGUGCGGUAAAACGCACUGGAGGACCGAACCCACGUACGUUGAAAAGUGCGGGGAUGAGGUGUGGGUAGCGGAGAAAUUCCAAACGAACUUGGAGAUAGCUGGUUCUCUCCGAAAUAGCUUUAGGGCUAGCCUCGGAAUUGAGAAUGAUGGAGGUAGAGCACUGUUUGGACUAGGGGCCCAUCUCGGGUUACCGAAUUCAGAUAAACUCCGAAUGCCAUUCAUUCAUAUCCGGGAGUCAGACUGUGAGUGAUAAGAUCCAUAGUCGAAAGGGAAACAGCCCAGACCACCAGCUAAGGUCCCAAAAUAUAUGUUAAGUGGAAAAGGAUGUGGGGUUGCACAGACAACUAGGAUGUUGGCUUAGAAGCAGCCAUCAUUUAAAGAGUGCGUAAUAGCUCACUAGUCGAGUGACCCUGCGCCGAAAAUGUACCGGGGCUAAACAUAUUACCGAAGCUGUGGAGUACACCUUUAGGUGUAUUGGUAGGAGAGCGUUCUAAGGGCGUUGAAGGCAGAUCGUGAGGACUGCUGGAGCGCUUAGAAGUGAGAAUGCCGGUAUGAGUAGCGAAAGACAGGUGAGAAUCCUGUCCACCGAAUGACUAAGGUUUCCUGGGGAAGGCUCGUCCGCCCAGGGUUAGUCGGGACCUAAGCCGAGGCCGACAGGCGUAGGCGAUGGAUAACAGGUUGAUAUUCCUGUACCCGUUGUUUUUGUUUGAGCAAUGGAGGGACGCAGGAGGCUAAGGAAUGCAGACGAUCGGAAAUGUCUGUCCAAGCAGUAAGUCUGAAGAGGAGUCAAAUGCUUCUUUUCUUAAGGACAAGCUGUGAUGGGGAGGGAAAUAAUAGUACCGAAGUUCCUGAUGUCACACUGCCGAGAAAAGCUUCUAGUGAGAAAACAGCGGCCCGUACCGCAAACCGACACAGGUAGUCGAGGAGAGAAUCCUAAGGUGAGCGAGAGAACUCUCGUUAAGGAACUCGGCAAAAUGACCCCGUAACUUCGGGAGAAGGGGUGCUGAUCAUACGAUCAGCCGCAGUGAAUAGGCCCAAGCGACUGUUUAUCAAAAACACAGGUCUCUGCAAAAUCGUAAGAUGAAGUAUAGGGGCUGACGCCUGCCCGGUGCUGGAAGGUUAAGAGGAGUGCUUAGCGCAAGCGAAGGUACGAAUUGAAGCCCCAGUAAACGGCGGCCGUAACUAUAACGGUCCUAAGGUAGCGAAAUUCCUUGUCGGGUAAGUUCCGACCCGCACGAAAGGCGUAACGAUUUGGGCACUGUCUCAACGAGAGACUCGGUGAAAUUUUAGUACCUGUGAAGAUGCAGGUUACCCGCGACAGGACGGAAAGACCCCAUGGAGCUUUACUGUAGUUUGAUAUUGAGUGUCUGUACCGCAUGUACAGGAUAGGUAGGAGCCGUAGAAAUCGGAACGCUAGUUUCGAUGGAGGCGCUGGUGGGAUACUACCCCUGCGUUAUGGCCACUCUAACCCGCACCACUAAUCGUGGUGGGAGACAGUGUCAGAUGGGCAGUUUGACUGGGGCGGUCGCCUCCUAAAAGGUAACGGAGGCGCCCAAAGGUUCCCUCAGAAUGGUUGGAAAUCAUUCGAAGAGUGUAAAGGCAGAAGGGAGCUUGACUGCGAGACCAACAAGUCGAGCAGGGACGAAAGUCGGGCUUAGUGAUCCGGUGGUUCCGCAUGGAAGGGCCAUCGCUCAACGGAUAAAAGCUACCCUGGGGAUAACAGGCUUAUCUCCCCCAAGAGUCCACAUCGACGGGGAGGUUUGGCACCUCGAUGUCGGCUCGUCGCAUCCUGGGGCUGUAGUCGGUCCCAAGGGUUGGGCUGUUCGCCCAUUAAAGCGGCACGCGAGCUGGGUUCAGAACGUCGUGAGACAGUUCGGUCCCUAUCCGUCGCGGGCGUUGGAAAUUUGAGAGGAGCUGUCCUUAGUACGAGAGGACCGGGAUGGACUUACCGCUGGUGUACCAGUUGUUCUGCCAAGGGCAUUGCUGGGUAGCUAUGUAGGGAAGGGAUAAACGCUGAAAGCAUCUAAGUGUGAAGCCCACCUCAAGAUGAGAUUUCCCAUUUCUUUAAGAAAGUAAGAUCCCUGAGAGAUGAUCAGGUAGAUAGGUCAGGAGUGGAAGUACAGUGAUGUAUGGAGCGGACUGAUACUAAUCGAUCGAGGACUUAACCAA